Molecule: non-coding RNA, 376 nt
Organism: Schizosaccharomyces pombe (fission yeast)
Lineage: Eukaryota; Fungi; Ascomycota; Schizosaccharomycetes; Schizosaccharomycetales; Schizosaccharomycetaceae
Source: the annotation of a GenBank genome assembly
CACAAACACAAACAUUCUACCAACUAAGCCUCUGAUCACAACUAUGUCAAAAAUAAAUGCAAUCGAUGUUUUACAGGAAGCCCGCUUACUCAAAAGCUUCCGCCGAUAGAACCUUGGAUGUGUGUAAUUUUGUUCUUGCAGAAAUAACACCAAAUAUAUCUCUGCUCUACGCGUCUCUAAACCUUAUAAAAGCACAUACCUUCAUAGCGCUCGGCUUGCUCAGCAAGUUUGGCUAAAUAAACAGCAUCUUCACGAGAAGUAGUAGACAUUUUUACCAAACGUUCGAAAAUGUGAGUAUAUCGUGGUGGUUGGCACUGGAAAGGUUGCGGAACGUCGUAUGGUAGAAAAAGGACUGCUCCCACAGUAAAAUUUCGUA